RNAcentral lists this ribosomal RNA (289 nucleotides) under uncultured Rickettsiales bacterium. Its description in RNAcentral is "partial 16S ribosomal RNA". The record is from RNAcentral. Lineage: Bacteria; Pseudomonadati; Pseudomonadota; Alphaproteobacteria; Rickettsiales.
CUACUGGGGUAUCUAAUCCUGUUUGCUCCCCACGCUUUCGCGCCUCAGCGUCAGUAAUGGCCCAGAUGACAGCCUUCGCCACUGGUGUUCCUCCUAAUAUCUAAGAAUUUUACCUCUACACUAGGAAUUCCAUCAUCCUCUACCACACUCUAGCCUAGCAGUUUUAGAAGCAGUUCCAGAGUUAAGCUCUGGGAUUUCACUCCUAACUUACUAAACCGCCUACACGCCCUUUACGCCCAGUAAUUCCGAACAACGCUAGCCCCCUCCGUCUUACCGCGGCUGCUGGCAC